UACGAGGGGGGCAAAUGUUGUUCGGAAUCACUAAACGUAAAAGGAGCGUAGGCGGGCUCUUAAGUUAGGUGUUUAAUCCCGGAGCCCAACCCCAAACAAACACCUAAAACUGGGAGUCUUGAAUAGUGGAGAGGACGGCGGAAUUGGGGGUGUAGCGGUGGAAUGCGUAGAGAUCCCCAAGAACACCAGUUGCGAAGGCGGCCGUCUGGACACAUAUUGACGCUGAGGCUCGAAAGCAUGGGGAGCAAACAGG
RNAcentral lists this ribosomal RNA (253 nucleotides) under uncultured bacterium. RNAcentral describes it as "partial 16S ribosomal RNA". It matches the Rfam family "Bacterial small subunit ribosomal RNA", at positions 524 to 776 of the family's 1533-position model. The record is from RNAcentral.